RNAcentral lists this long non-coding RNA (222 nucleotides) under Eucalyptus grandis. Its description in RNAcentral is "long non-coding RNA (EGRA_LNC007344)". Lineage: Eukaryota; Viridiplantae; Streptophyta; Magnoliopsida; Myrtales; Myrtaceae. The record is from RNAcentral.
AGGGUUUGUACGUAGGAAUGGAAGCGAUUGCUGUUAUGACAUCCAAGCCUGUAAUUCAAACGUAACCAAGACGUGAACAACAUGAGAGAAUGAUAACACACAGAGGAACAUACUAGGUGUUCUGUCAUAUAACAGUAAGCAUGUAAAAUGCAAGGAAGGAGUCAAAAUGCCUUCAAAGUAAAUCCCAGCUAAAUGUCUUCAAGAAUUAAAAAUGCUACUUUG